RNAcentral lists this ribosomal RNA (375 nucleotides) under uncultured organism. RNAcentral's name for it is "bacterial SSU rRNA". It matches the Rfam family "Archaeal small subunit ribosomal RNA", at positions 476 to 851 of the family's 1478-position model. The record is from RNAcentral.
CCAGCACCCCGAGUGGUCGGGACGAUUAUUGGGCCUAAAGCAUCCGUAGCCGGUACUGCAAGUCUUCCGUUAAAUCCACCUGCUCAACAGUUGGGCUGCGGGGGAUACUACAGCGCUAGGAGGCGGGAGAGGCAAGCGGUACUUAAUGGGUAGGGGUAAAAUCCACUGAUCCAUUGAAGACCACCAGUGGCGAAGGCGGCUUGCCAGAACGCGCUCGACGGUGAGGGAUGAAAGCUGGGGGGAGCAAACCGGAUUAGAUACCCGGGUAGUCCCAGCUGUAAACGAUGCAGACUCGGCGAUGGGCUGGCCUUGUGCCAACCCAGUGCCGCAGGGAAGCCGUUAAGUCUGCCGCCUGGGGAUACGGUCGCAAGACUG